CUGUAAUCACUGACACAGUCAUAUGUGGAGGUGUGGAAGCCUUCCCACCCACAGCUCCCACUACUACUACUACCACUACUACUUGUACUACUACUACUGUUGCCACCAAACUACCAUUGAAUCCUCCACCUCAACCUGAAAGCCCCAGAAAUCACAGGGCAUAAAUGGGAAUCCAGAUCACCAUACCCACCAAUGAACUCCCUUCAACUUACCUCCUUCUCCAACCACCUUUCGGGGUCGAGGUCCUGAAGACUGCAGUGUUUGUGUGUGGUCGAAACCCAGUGAAGAGGAACUGCGACUCUCUCUCUUAUGGUUUUUUUUUUUCCAUCUUCAUUUUCCAAUAUUUCUUCUUUUUUUCCCUCCCUCCCUUUGUCUUGAACUCCUCUGACUGGCCCCCCUUUCCACUUUUCUUCCUUUCCAUUUCUUCUCUCAUUUUCUGCAACCUCUGAAUCCUGUUCCUGCUCUGCAAACCCCCAAGACACUCACACCAACACAACUGUUUCCUGGAAGGAAAAAAAUGAACACACAAAGCAAUAUUUGGCCUCUUUGGUUGCCGACAUGUCUCCUGCUGUGUCCAAGUAAGAAAGAAUCUCCAGCAAGAAGCAUAUCACGGCCGUCACAUGGAAACCGAUGG
Molecule: non-coding RNA, 634 nt
Organism: Penaeus vannamei (Pacific white shrimp)
Lineage: Eukaryota; Metazoa; Arthropoda; Malacostraca; Decapoda; Penaeidae
Source: RefSeq, a predicted model, not a curated record